Molecule: ribosomal RNA, 438 nt
Filed under: Hapalemur griseus griseus
Lineage: Eukaryota; Metazoa; Chordata; Mammalia; Primates; Lemuridae
Description: partial 12S ribosomal RNA
Rfam family: Bacterial small subunit ribosomal RNA
Source: RNAcentral
AAACUAGAUUAGAUACCCUAUUAUGCUUAGCCGUAAACCUAAAUAAUUAAUAAACAAAAUUAUUCGCCAGAGUACUACAAGCAACAGCUUAAAACUCAAAGGACUUGGCGGUGCUUUAUAUCCCUCUAGAGGAGCCUGUUCUAUAAUCGAUAAACCCCGAUAAACCUCACCACUUCUUGCUAAUUCAACUUAUAUACCGCCAUCCUCAGCAAACCCUGUCAAGGCCUCAAAGUAAGCAAAAACACAUACAUAAAGACGUUAGGUCAAGGUGUAGUCUAUGAAGUGGAAAGAAAUGGGCUACAUUUUCUAACAUAAGAACAACAUCCCAACAGAAGCCUUUAUGAAACUAAAAGCCAAAGGAGGAUUUAGCAGUAAACUAAGAAUAGAGAGCUUAAUUGAAUUGGGCCAUGAAGUACGCACACAUCGCCCGUCGCUCUU